Molecule: ribosomal RNA, 731 nt
Filed under: uncultured Actinomycetes bacterium
Lineage: Bacteria; Bacillati; Actinomycetota; Actinomycetes
Description: bacterial SSU rRNA
Rfam family: Bacterial small subunit ribosomal RNA
Source: RNAcentral
UACACAUGCAAGUCGAGCGAUGAAGUUUCUUCGGAAAUGGAUUAGCGGCGAACGGGUGAGGAACACGUGAAGAAUCUGCCCUCCACUUUGGGAUAACACCGGGAAACCGGUGCUAAUACUGAAUAUUGAAACAUAAGUGGCAUCACUGAGUUUUGAAAGAAUUUCGGUGGAGGAUGACUUCGCGGCCUAUCAGCUAGUUGGUGAGGUAAUGGCUCACCAAGGCAACGACGGGUAGCCGGCCUGAGAGGGCGACCGGCCACACUGGGACUGAGACACGGCCCAGACUCCUACGGGAGGCAGCAGUGGGGAAUAUUGGGCAAUGGAGGAAACUCUGACCCAGCGACGCCGCGUGCGGGAUGAAGGCCUUCAGGUUGUAAACCGCUUUCAGUAGGGAAGAAGCGAAAGUGACGGUACCUACAAAAGAAGCACCGGCUAACUAUGUGCCAGCAGCCGCGGUAAUACAUAGGGUGCAAGCGUUGUCCGGAAUUAUUGGGCGUAAAGAGCUCGUAGGUCGUUUGUUACGUCGGAUGUGAAAACCUGAGGCUCAACCUCAGGCCUGCAUUCGAUACGGGCAAACUAGAGUUUGGUAGGGGAGACUGGAAUUCCUGGUGUAGCGGUGGAAUGCGCAGAUAUCAGGAGGAACACCAAUGGCGAAGGCAGGUCUCUGGGCCAAUACUGACACUGAGGAGCGAAAGUCUGGGGAGCGAACAGGAUUAGAUACCCUGGUAGUC